This 914-nucleotide ribosomal RNA is filed under the name uncultured archaeon. Its description in RNAcentral is "bacterial SSU rRNA". It matches the Rfam family "Archaeal small subunit ribosomal RNA", at positions 4 to 922 of the family's 1478-position model. The record is from RNAcentral.
CUGGUUGAUCCUGCCRGAGGCUACUGCUAUCGGGGUCCGACUAAGCCAUGCGAGUUGAGAGGGGUAAGCCCUCGGCAUAUUGCUCAGUAACACGCGGAUAACCUGCCCUUGGGUUUGGGAUAACCCCGGGAAACUGGGACUAAUACCGGAUAGAUCAUAGAAACUGGAAUGUUCUUUGAUCGAAAGCUCCGGCGCCCAAGGAUGGGUCUGCGGCCUAUCRGGUAGUAGUGGGUGUAGCGUACCUACUAGCCUACGACGGGUACGGGUUGUGAGAGCAAGAGCCCGGAGAUGGAUUCUGAGACACGAAUCCAGGCCCUACGGGGUGCAGCAGGCGCGAAAACUUUACAAUGCYGGMAACRGCGAUAAGGGGACCUCGAGUGCCAGGUUACAAAUCUGGCUGUCGUGAUGCCUAAAAAGCAUUGCAUAGCAAGGGCCGGGCAAGACCGGUGCCAGCCGCCGCGGUAACACCGGCGGCUCGAGUGGUAACCGUUAUUAUUGGGUCUAAAGGGUCUGUAGCCGGCCGGAUAAGUCUCUUGGGAAAUCUGGCAGCUUAACUGUCAGGCUUUCAGGAGAUACUGUCUGGCUCGAGGCCGGGAGAGGUGAGAGGUACUUCAGGGGUAGGGGUGAAAUCUUGUAAUCCUUGAAGGACCACCAGUGGCGAAGGCGUCUCACCAGAACGGACCUGACGGCAAGGGACGAAAGCUAGGGGCACGAACCGGAUUAGAUACCCGGGUAGUCCUAGCCGUAAACGAUACUCGCUAGGUGUCGGCCACGGUGCGACCGUUGUCGGUGCCGUAGGGAAGCCGUGAAGCGAGCCACCUGGGAAGUACGGCCGCAAGGCUGAAACUUAAAGGAAUUGGCGGGGGAGCACCACAACGGGUGGAGCUUGCGGUUUAAUUGGAKUCAACGCCGGG